AUAGAAUUAUACUAUACUAACGCUUGAAAAUAAUUGAAUAAGAAAAAAGUGGAAGGACUGGAAGUACUGACUGCUAUGCAAGGUCAAAUAUAAAUAUGGAUUGAAUCAUUAUAAAGUUUAGUGUCCGUUUAGUAGCCGUACUAUUUCAACCAAAAACUGUUCAAGCACUAACAUAUGGUUUAAUAUAUACUAUUAGAACGCGAUCCAAAAAAGUUCAGGUAUUUUCAAUUCAAUUUGGCGCUGAAGUAAACUAUAGAAAUCCAAAUUGUACCUAUACAUCUCGUAUCGAGUUAUCGGAAAUUGACGGAUUGAUUUGCAAGACUAAUUUUAUCUCCGGCAUAAGAUAUGGUCUUCAAUGUGGUAAUAUUAAAUUACGUCUGAGACCUCUUGACGAAGAUGGUCACCUCGAAUAUGAAUACAAAUGUAAGCCACAAUAGUUUACACUUAUUUCUGAAUAAUAAGUUAUGUUAAUCAAACUACAUUUCCGGAUUUUUUCAGUAUUUAUUUUCAAUUUUUAUUAGCUAAUUUUAUAUAACCUUAAACCAAAUUAAAUAUAAAAUAAUGGGCUGCAGUAUUAUUAUUACAUAGGAAAAUAAGUUUAAGAAUCAAUGUGUCCCACAUGUUAUAUUAUUUACUUGUAUAGUCUUGUCUAGUUGUCAAGUAAUUAUAAUAUUUUAUACUCUUUAUUUAUUAUCGUUUUCAAGCAACAUUUUAUGUCAAAAUUACAUUAUAUAUAGCACUCAUAACUCUUGAAAGGUCGGUGUCACUUGCACACUGAGAUUUGAGUCCAACUCGGUAAUUAAUAUUUAAUACUAUUUGUUCUUAAGUCACACUUGCAUAGCUUAAUUUGACGUAAAAUUGUAUUCUUCCACGCGACGACUGCACUUGACCCUCUUUUCAACUCGCUAUGAAAACAACGGCUGAUAUCGCGACAUGAAGCAUUAAAUUGUCGCAUUUAUUUACGUACUCUAACCAAGUAUAGAUUUUAUGCUCCAUCAGGCAUCAAGUCUCUUGCAGUUUCGCAAUAGCGUUAAAAACCACAUUGUCAAUUCCAAAUCAUUUUCAAAUAUUGGUAUUCUACUCUGUUGUAAUAAUUACAUAGACGAUGAAGAUGGGCCAACGGUGUGCCAGAACAAUGCUAAAGAAAAAUUUCAUUCCACUGCUAUCAAAACUACAUCACCACCAGCGUUAUUUUAAUAUAUUAUAUUAUUCUUUCUUGUACUCCCCGCUACUAGUGUAAACUACAUGAUCAAUUGGUCAAUCAUAUUUUUAUAUUUAAGUACCUAUAAAUAUAUUCAUGUUAGGUACAUUGUAUAAUAUUAUAUCGAUAGUUUUCUAUCCCUCCUGAAAUUCAAUUUAAACCAUCUAAUCCAACUCAUAUUUUUAUUUUAUCCAUAACUAUAUUAACAAAAAAAAAAAAAAACAUUAAUAUAUCUAAAUAAUGAGUUAAAAAAUGACGUGCCCGGUGACUCACAAGUGGGACCGUGGCGUCGGCAACGUCCAAACACUACGCCUUAUUUAAUGAACGGUAAUUAUGAUUAUUACUUAUUGCAAAUAAAAAAAAAACCAUCAAUAUAUAUAUAGGUAUUAUAUAUAUAUAUAAUAUAUAUAUAUCAAUCGUUUUACCACGGCGGCCGAAAUUUAAAAAACACAUUAUUAUAAUAAGGUAAUAUAGUUAUUAAAAAUAUAUUUAAUCCACUUUCAUCUUAUCCUUAAUCACGCUGUCGUUUGUAAUAAAUACAUUAAAAAAAAAAAUGUAUUGUUAUAUUAUAAAUACGAUUUAAGGAAUAUUUAUGUUUGUAUUUUAUAUGUAUGUCAUAAGUAUUCCAUUUAAUAAUAUGUGAUAAUCUAAAAAUUAUUUUAUUUUUAUUGGUACCUAAUAUCCAUUACUAUAAAUAUUUAUUGUCAUGGUGACACGGAGAACAUUUUUAACACAACUGUAUUAUUUUAUAUACUGUACAUUUACCAAAAACUUGUAAAAUGUUUGCCAAAAAAUUAUUUAAUAUUUGUAUUUUAAUUACAACAAUAAAAUAUUUUAACAUGAUUA
Molecule: long non-coding RNA, 2047 nt
Organism: Aphis gossypii (cotton aphid)
Lineage: Eukaryota; Metazoa; Arthropoda; Insecta; Hemiptera; Aphididae
Exons: 4
Source: RefSeq, a predicted model, not a curated record